UUUCCGUAGGUGAACCUGCGGAAGGAUCAUUACCGAGUGAGGGCCCUCUGGGUCCAACCUCCCACCCGUGUUUAUCGUACCUUGUUGCCUCGGCGGGCCCGCCUCACGGCCGCCGGGGGGCACCCGCCCCCGGGCCCGCGCCCGCCGAAGACACCAUUGAACGCUGUCUGAAGAUUGCAGUCUGAGCAUCUUAGCUAAAUCAGUUAAAACUUUCAACAACGGAUCUCUUGGUUCCG
This 236-nucleotide unclassified non-coding RNA is filed under the name plant metagenome. Its description in RNAcentral is "partial contains small subunit ribosomal RNA, internal transcribed spacer 1, and 5.8S ribosomal RNA". The record is from RNAcentral.